AACGCACAUUGCGCCCCUCGGAAUUCCGGGGGGCAUACCUGUUCGAGCGUCAUUACACCUCUCAAGCGUAGCUUGGUAUUGAGCCUCGCUCCCCCACGGGGGCGUGCUUGAAAAGUAGUGGCGGUCCGGUGUGGCCUUGAACGUAGUAAAUUUUCUCCCGUUCUGAAGGUUCCAUGCUGUGGCCGGCCAGAAACAUCAUUUUCAAGAAUUGACCUCGGAUCAGGUAGGGAUACCCGCUGAACUUAA
RNAcentral lists this unclassified non-coding RNA (246 nucleotides) under uncultured fungus. RNAcentral describes it as "partial contains 5.8S ribosomal RNA, internal transcribed spacer 2, and large subunit ribosomal RNA". The record is from RNAcentral. Lineage: Eukaryota; Fungi.